UGAAACCUUUCUUUAACAACUUGACUGGGAAGGCUGUGAUUGUGAAACUCAAGUGGGGAAUGGAGUACAAAGGCUGUUGACUCAUACAUGAACUUGCAGUUGUCUAACUCUGAGGAGUACAUUGAUGGUCAGUUUACUGGAAACCUUGGAGAGAUUCUGAUCAGACAGAUGUAACAAUGUUCUCUAUUUACAAGGUGUACCAGAGGAUGCAGAUCGUGAUUAGCACUCGUGCAUUCAGAUCUAUCUGUUUUACAUUCAACGUCUUAUGUCUUUGUAUGUAGAUGUUAAGAUCUAAGAUGACACUUAAUUUAGAAAGCCUGAACUUAUGAUUGAUGCAAGUUUAAUUGGGUGAAUGUGCAUUUUUUCUGGACUUGUAUUAGUAUGAAUGGAUCAUCAGACAAUGUUGAAUGUUAGUUUCUUCUUUUUUCCCUCAUGAUUAAAAACUUAAAAUUUUGUUGU
This 459-nucleotide long non-coding RNA is filed under the name Helianthus annuus (common sunflower). RNAcentral describes it as "hypothetical non coding rna". Lineage: Eukaryota; Viridiplantae; Streptophyta; Magnoliopsida; Asterales; Asteraceae. The record is from RNAcentral.